CCAGGCCUCCCACCAAUACCCACACUCACUAGAACCACUCGCUCCUGGGAUUCGUUGCCGGCGGCCCAAAGCAGAAGAUACAAGACAACCAAGAGUGCGUUCAGUCACCGGCGGGCUCUAGACUGGGGCUCGAACGUCCGGACCGCGGCGUGAUGACGUUACAAGGACGUCCGACCCCGCCUCGUGUCGCGCACAGCCAAUAGAAGUCACCGCUGGGUUUGAACCGUCCUCCACUCGUCCCGCGACGCAAUCGCGUGUGGGCGUUGUCGGCAAGCCGGAAGCUGGCUUUAGACGGUAGCCCCGUGGGGACAAGAACCGCGAGCCCUCCCAGUCUCUCGUACGUGUACACAAUAGGCUAGUUUUGACUCAAUCUACAGUAGUCAAUAGGCCCUCAAGUGUAAAAUAAUAGGAACAGGAGUUGUGAGACUGCGCCCUGCGCUAUGACGAUAAAAACAAAUUGGGUGGAGAGAAGAGGCAUAAAGAUGAAUCCUCCCUUGGAAAGCUUGUUUAGUGAAUAAAAUUGGAAUGGCGCACCUGGCGUGGGAAUAGCGAGUGCGAAUCAAAGGAAGCGGGAAACGCGUCGUUUGAGGAAUGGGAGUAGCCACUGAACCGUGACGCUGGAAAGGUAUCCUGUAGGGUUUUGGGAUGGUGAGAUAUGGACAGGACAGAGAGGCAGCUGGCAGAACUGUAUCUGUUAAGAUCAGGAUGACCUGGAACUCAGAAAUCCGCCUCCUUCCUAUGAAAUGUAAAGUGUGAGCUGCCACUUAAAGCCCACGGUUUACAGUGAGAGUGAUUGAAUUGUGCAGUCCAAUUUGGGAUCCCCGGUUAAAUAAUCUAUGAGACAGUACCUUAUAGACCAAUUUCUGGUCUCACAUUGUACAAGCAACUUUUGGUAAUGAAACAACACUUGGUUAAUUUUGUAUCAUUUGCUAGUGUUAGGUUGGUAGGUUUCUUCCCAUCUCCUUUUUAUAAUGAACUUUUAUUUUAGAAUAAAUUUAAGUUUACAGAAAUAAAAAUUGCAAAGGUAAUACAGGAAUUGAGCACACUGCC
RNAcentral lists this long non-coding RNA (1050 nucleotides) under Rattus norvegicus (Norway rat). RNAcentral's name for it is "long non-coding RNA NONRATT002283". The record is from RNAcentral. Lineage: Eukaryota; Metazoa; Chordata; Mammalia; Rodentia; Muridae.